GGCUGGUCCAAGUGCAGUGGUGUUUGCGGCUAGUUGAUGACAAACAGUUACAGAUUUCUUUGUUCCUUCUCCACUCCCACUGUUUCACUUGACUAGUUAAAA
Molecule: Y RNA, 102 nt
Filed under: Cercocebus atys (sooty mangabey)
Lineage: Eukaryota; Metazoa; Chordata; Mammalia; Primates; Cercopithecidae
Description: Y RNA (ENSCATG00000008658.1)
Rfam family: Y RNA
About the family: Y RNAs are components of the Ro ribonucleoprotein particle (Ro RNP), in association with Ro60 and La proteins. The Y RNAs and Ro60 and La proteins are well conserved, but the function of the Ro RNP is not known.
Source: RNAcentral